GUGGCAGACGGGUGAGUAACAUGUAGGUAUCUACCCUAUGGCCUGGAAUAACACGAGGAAACUUGUGCUAAUACUGGAUAAGUCUUUACGGAGAAAGCUUUAUGCACCAUUGGAUGAGCCUGCACUUGAUUAGUUUGUUGGUAGGGUAAUGGCCUACCAAGACUUUGAUCAAUAGCUGAUUUGAGAGGAUGAUCAGCCACAUUGGGACUGAGACACGGCCCAAACUCCUACGGGAGGCAGCAGUGGGGAAUCUUGCACAAUGGAGGAAACUCUGAUGCAGCGAUGCCGCGUGAGUGAAGAAGGCCUUUGGGUUGUAAAGCUCUUUCGUCGGGGAAGAAAAUGACUGUACCCGAAUAAGAAGGUCCGGCUAACUUCGUGCCAGCAGCCGCGGUAAUACGAAGGGACCUAGCGUAGUUCGGAAUUACUGGGCUUAAAGAGUUCGUAGGUGGUUGAAAAAGUUGGUGGUGAAAUCCCAGAGCUUAACUCUGGAACUGCCAUCAAAACUUUUCAGCUAGAGUUUGAUAGAGGAAAGCAGAAUUUCUAGUGUAGAGGUGAAAUUCGUAGAUAUUAGAAAGAAUACCAAUUGCGAAGGCAGCUUUCUGGAUCAAUACUGACACUGAGGAACGAAAGCAUGGGUAGCGAAGAGGAUU
RNAcentral lists this ribosomal RNA (650 nucleotides) under uncultured marine bacterium. Its description in RNAcentral is "bacterial SSU rRNA". It matches the Rfam family "Bacterial small subunit ribosomal RNA", at positions 95 to 779 of the family's 1533-position model. The record is from RNAcentral.